AUUGAACGCUGGCGGCAUGCCUUACACAUGCAAGUCGAACGGCAGCACGGGUGCUUGCACCUGGUGGCGAGUGGCGAACGGGUGAGUAAUACAUCGGAACAUGUCCUGUAGUGGGGGAUAGCCCGGCGAAAGCCGGAUUAACACCGCAUACGAUCUACGGAUGAAAGCGGGGGACCUUCGGGCCUCGCGCUAUAGGGUUGGCCGAUGGCUGAUUAGCUAGUUGGUGGGGUAAAGGCCUACCAAGGCGACGAUCAGUAGCUGGUCUGAGAGGACGACCAGCCACACUGGGACUGAGACACGGCCCAGACUCCUACGGGAGGCAGCAGUGGGGAAUUUUGGACAAUGGGCGAAAGCCUGAUCCAGCAAUGCCGCGUGUGUGAAGAAGGCCUUCGGGUUGUAAAGCACUUUUGUCCGGAAAGAAAUCCUUGGCCCUAAUACGGUCGGGGGAUGACGGUACCGGAAGAAUAAGCACCGGCUAACUACGUG
Molecule: ribosomal RNA, 486 nt
Filed under: uncultured bacterium
Lineage: Bacteria
Description: partial 16S ribosomal RNA
Rfam family: Bacterial small subunit ribosomal RNA
Source: RNAcentral